Molecule: ribosomal RNA, 254 nt
Filed under: uncultured bacterium
Lineage: Bacteria
Description: partial 16S ribosomal RNA
Rfam family: Bacterial small subunit ribosomal RNA
Source: RNAcentral
UACGAAGGGGGCUAGCGUUGCUCGGAAUGACUGGGCGUAAAGGGCGCGUAGGCGGCUCAUACAGUCAGGCGUGAAAUUCCUGGGCUCAACCUGGGGACUGCGCUUGAGACGUGUGGGCUUGAGUGGGGAAGAGGGUCGUGGAAUUCCCAGUGUAGAGGUGAAAUUCGUAGAUAUUGGGAAGAACACCGGUGGCGAAGGCGGCGACCUGGUCCUUGACUGACGCUGAGGCGCGAAAGCGUGGGGGAGCAAACAGG